RNAcentral lists this ribosomal RNA (327 nucleotides) under uncultured eukaryote. RNAcentral's name for it is "partial 18S ribosomal RNA". It matches the Rfam family "Eukaryotic small subunit ribosomal RNA", at positions 1470 to 1796 of the family's 1831-position model. The record is from RNAcentral.
CCCUUAGAUGUUCUGGGCCGCACGCGCGCUACACUGACGAAUGCAACGAGCUUAUAACCUUGGCCGAAAGGUCUGGGUAAUCUCCAAAUUUCGUCGUGAUGGGGAUAGAUUAUUGCAUUUAUUAAUCUUCAACGAGGAAUGCCUAGUAAGCGCAAGUCAUCAGCUUGCGUUGAUUACGUCCCUGCCCUUUGUACACACCGCCCGUCGCUCCUACCGAUUGAAUGGUCCGGUGAAGCGUUCGGACCGUGGCCUUUGGACGGUUCGCCGUCUGUUGGCUGCGGGAAGUUCGUUAAACCUUAUCAUUUAGAGGAAGGAGAAGUCGUAACA